Molecule: ribosomal RNA, 792 nt
Filed under: Bacillus sp. (in: firmicutes)
Lineage: Bacteria; Bacillati; Bacillota; Bacilli; Caryophanales; Bacillaceae
Description: bacterial SSU rRNA
Rfam family: Bacterial small subunit ribosomal RNA
Source: RNAcentral
AUAGACAUGCAAGUCGAGCGAACAGAAGGGAGCUUGCUCCCGGAUGUUAGCGGCGGACGGGUGAGUAACACGUGGGUAACCUGCCUGUAAGACUGGGAUAACUCCGGGAAACCGGAGCUAAUACCGGAUAGUUCCUUGAACCGCAUGGUUCAAGGAUGAAAGACGGUUUCGGCUGUCACUUACAGAUGGACCCGCGGCGCAUUAGCUAGUUGGUGGGGUAAUGGCUCACCAAGGCGACGAUGCGUAGCCGACCUGAGAGGGUGAUCGGCCACACUGGGACUGAGACACGGCCCAGACUCCUACGGGAGGCAGCAGUAGGGAAUCUUCCGCAAUGGACGAAAGUCUGACGGAGCAACGCCGCGUGAGUGAUGAAGGUUUUCGGAUCGUAAAGCUCUGUUGUUAGGGAAGAACAAGUGCGAGAGUAACUGCUCGCACCUUGACGGUACCUAACCAGAAAGCCACGGCUAACUACGUGCCAGCAGCCGCGGUAAUACGUAGGUGGCAAGCGUUGUCCGGAAUUAUUGGGCGUAAAGGGCUCGCAGGCGGUUUCUUAAGUCUGAUGUGAAAGCCCCCGGCUCAACCGGGGAGGGUCAUUGGAAACUGGGAAACUUGAGUGCAGAAGAGGAGAGUGGAAUUCCACGUGUAGCGGUGAAAUGCGUAGAGAUGUGGAGGAACACCAGUGGCGAAGGCGACUCUCUGGUCUGUAACUGACGCUGAGGAGCGAAAGCGUGGGGAGCGAACAGGAUUAGAUACCCUGGUAGUCCACGCCGUAAACGAUGAGUGCAAGUGGUU